UCUGGUCUUGGGACACUGUCAGGUGGGCAGUUUGACUGGGGCGGUCGCCUCCCAAAAGGUAACGGAGGCGCUCAAAGGUUCUCUCAGUACGGUCGGAAAUCGUACGUAGAGUGUAAAGGCAAAAGAGAGCUUGAUUGCAAGACAUACAGGUCGAGCAAGGAUGAAAAUCGGACUUAGUGAUCCGGUGGUGCUGCGUGGAAGGGCCAUCGCUCAACGGAUAAAAGCUACCCUGGGGAUAACAGGCUUAUCUCCCCCAAGAGUCCACAUCGACGGGGAGGUUUGGCACCUCGAUGUCGGCUCAUCACAUCCUGGGGCUGUAGUAGGUCCCAAGGGUUGGGCUGUUCGC
RNAcentral lists this ribosomal RNA (346 nucleotides) under Clostridioides difficile. RNAcentral describes it as "bacterial LSU rRNA". It matches the Rfam family "Bacterial large subunit ribosomal RNA", at positions 2239 to 2584 of the family's 2925-position model. Lineage: Bacteria; Bacillati; Bacillota; Clostridia; Peptostreptococcales; Peptostreptococcaceae. The record is from RNAcentral.